ACAAAAUAGUCUCCCCCCUUUUUCAUUUUACCCUAAAACACAAAAUUUUCAAUACAACAACCAUUUGCUCCUACUACUACACAAAGGGGGACCUCUAAAAUUGCUCUACAACAUUCAAAAGCUACUUUAAAGGCUACAAUCAAAGCUUCAAAUUUGAAACCAAGCACGACUUAGACAGGGUAGGGAGACCCAGAUCGGAUCGACUCGACGCGAGCGGACGACACAGCUAGCAUCGACACGGGGAUGGGGUCGAGUACAAGUACCCGUCCAGGGAGUUAGAGUUAGACAUACUCAGUAGCAGUUGCUUAUUUAUGUUUUAUUCUUGACUUUUUUGUAUUCGGGUUGUAUUAUUUUGUCACUGAGCACUUACCUGUACAACUAUUUUUGUAUUUAUAAUAUUGGUAUUUUAUUCA
Long non-coding RNA from Vicia villosa (hairy vetch), 413 nucleotides. RefSeq lists it as uncharacterized. Lineage: Eukaryota; Viridiplantae; Streptophyta; Magnoliopsida; Fabales; Fabaceae. The record is from RefSeq and is a predicted model, not a curated record. The transcript has 2 exons.